CGUCAUCCUAGGUCCUCUGGCCACUAAUACAUCUGGGAGAUUAUUUGUGUCUUCCUUAGUGAAGACAGAUCCAAAGUACCUGUUCAACGUGUCUGCCAAGCGUCUGGAUAGAAGUGAGGCAUCUAGAUAGUUCCAAGAUACAGGUAAAAGGUAGAUGUUG
Molecule: long non-coding RNA, 160 nt
Organism: Amblyraja radiata (thorny skate)
Lineage: Eukaryota; Metazoa; Chordata; Chondrichthyes; Rajiformes; Rajidae
Exons: 3
Source: RefSeq, a predicted model, not a curated record